UACGAAGGGGGCUAGCGUUGUUCGGAUUUACUGGGCGUAAAGCGCACGUAGGCGGUUUGUUAAGUGAGAGGUGAAAUCCCAGAGCUCAACUCUGGAACUGCCUUUCAUACUGGCAAGCUAGAGUCCGGAAGAGGUAAGUGGAACUCCUAGUGUAGAGGUGGAAUUCGUAGAUAUUAGGAAGAACACCAGUGGCGAAGGCGGCUUACUGGUCCGGAACUGACGCUGAGGUGCGAAAGCGUGGGGAGCAAAC
RNAcentral lists this ribosomal RNA (250 nucleotides) under uncultured bacterium. RNAcentral describes it as "partial 16S ribosomal RNA". It matches the Rfam family "Bacterial small subunit ribosomal RNA", at positions 524 to 773 of the family's 1533-position model. The record is from RNAcentral.